GUGCUCACUUCAGCAGCACAUACACUAAAGUUGGAAUACAGAAAAGAUUCACAUGGCCCCUGUGCAAGGAUGACACGCGAAUACGUGAAGUGUUCCAUAUUUUU
Lepus europaeus (European hare) is the source of this 104-nucleotide small nuclear RNA. The record is from RefSeq and is a predicted model, not a curated record. Lineage: Eukaryota; Metazoa; Chordata; Mammalia; Lagomorpha; Leporidae.